UCUUACAGUAGUUAAGGGGAAUUUACCCCUUAAGUGUCAUACUUAAGGGAAAAACUUAAGGUGCUUUAUGCAACCGGGCCCUUAACUUAAAUAUUUAAACUUUUACAAUCAUAAAAAUGUAUUUUUUUUAAAUGUCUUACAAAUGUAUAAAGGAUUGCAAACGUUUACGUGAUUCAUAACGUAAUGUGUGACAAUUAACGUUAUAUUGAUAUUAAAUUAGCUGUUUUCUAUCAGGUUAAGAAUAACUGUGAUCAUAUUAUAAUGAAGUAAUCGAAUUUGGUUAUCUGGUCUUCCUGAUGUUAGAACAUUUAUAUAAAAAACAUAUUUAAAAAUGUAUUUCUGUAACGUUUAAUUUCCUUUUUUGAUGAAAGUGUGUCUGUGUUCAUCAAGACAUGAAGACUCUGGAGUGGGACAAGAGGAGGAUGAUGGGGUGUAUAUUCCAAUAGGCACAUUAAGUCACAUUGUGAUUUCAGUGAAAGCAGAUAAAUACAGAGGGCUGGACAGUGGUUUCAUUCAUUAGGUAAAGAGGUGGGACAAGGAUGCUGACAGGACAGGAGGAGGUGACAUUCAGACAUUCAACGCAGCCAUUUUCAUCCAAAGCAACUUGAGGAAGAAAACAGAAGCAGUUCAUCCUAAAAGUGGGCUGCUGUAAUGUUUACAUCUAUGGAAAGAGGAGCUGAGAAGAAAAGAGAGGCUGGAAAGCAGUACUUCUUGUUGAGGACAAUCCUGAAUAGGAACACUUUCUCAUACACAUAGAUUAUUAUUAGUGCUUGAUUGUUUGUUUCAUUUUUAUGAAUUGUAUUGUUUUAAUUUUUCGUUUUAUUUGAAAUUACCUAAGUUAGAUUCAUGCUAAUACUUUAACUGGACCUUGUAUCUUUGCUGGCUGGCUGGCUGUAGAGUUGGUUUCACAUACACAUGAAGUUUCUAAUUAACUAACUUUUAAGUUCAGUUUGGUUUAAACUUGUAUUUACCCAUGGUAAUUCAUUUAAAUUUCUAUUCAUGCUUAUAUAUUAAUUUCAAUGAACUUCUGUAUUUGUGUAUAGCUGGCAAUUUGGGCAAGCUACGUUUAACACACAAAUGUAACUGUCACAAAGGUUUUUUUUAUUAUCAGUUUGUUCUAAACUUUUGUUUGUUUACUAAGGAUGAAAUUGCUUUGUAAUUUAAGUUGUUGGUAGAUUCAUGCCAAUAAUGUAUUUGAACAAACUAGUAUUUUUGUUUAUUGCUGGCAGUUUAUACUAGAAGAGUUUUAACACAUACAAUGUUGUAGUGUUAUUGACUUGUGUGCUAUUGAUUAAUAAAAAGGCAAACAAUUUGAAAGUAAUUUUUCGUGUGAUUUAUUUAUUAAUAUAAUUUGGGCAAGAUUAGGCUGAGUUAUGGC
Paramisgurnus dabryanus is the source of this 1378-nucleotide long non-coding RNA. RefSeq lists it as uncharacterized. Lineage: Eukaryota; Metazoa; Chordata; Actinopteri; Cypriniformes; Cobitidae. The record is from RefSeq and is a predicted model, not a curated record.